This is an RNA transcript of Ornithodoros turicata, 2282 nucleotides long. RefSeq lists it as uncharacterized. The transcript has 26 exons. NCBI's taxonomy places the organism in Eukaryota, Metazoa, Arthropoda, Arachnida, Ixodida, Argasidae. The record is from RefSeq and is a predicted model, not a curated record.
UUUUAGUCAUCCGUCGCAUUGGUUCUGUUACCUGUUGUGAAUAAGUAGUUGUGAACCCGUCGCAGUGAAAUGAUCGAAUACAUCGUGGGCACGUUUUUGGUCAUUGUACUAAUGGUCAAAGGAACACCGAUGCGUCUAAUCAGGUGUAUUAUAAGCAACCUGAGGCAAGUGUCUCGCGUCACGUCGACGUCGGACCUUGUCAAGUGUUCUGACGAGGAAACAGAGACUGAACGUGUCCUCACCGCCGAGGAAGGAAUCCAGGCUACCCCGCCCAAGAGAUCUCCUGCAAGAAAGCAGCAGCAGCGUUGUACGCCAUGGUGGUUGCUGUUCAUUGUGGCGUGCACGCUCUGCGUGCUGGGUAUCUUUAUCGUGACGUCGUCCCUUAACCCAAUCUCUCCACCUGUCACAGCGUCACCUACAUGCGCAGUUACGGAAAUCUUCACUGGCUACGUAACAACGCAGAUGGGCGAAGGAGAAUCCACAGCGGCCAGCGCGCGGGCACCUUCGUCACCGGCCCCUUCGUCACCGGCCCCUUCGUCACCGGCCCCUUCGCCACCGGCCCCUUCGUCACCGGCCCCUUCGUCACCGGCCCCUUCGUCACCGGCCCCUUCGUCACCGGCACCUUCGUCACCGGCCCCUUCGUCACCGGCACCUUCGUCACCGGCCCCUUCGUCACCGGCCCCUUCGUCACCGGCCCCUUCGUCACCGGCCCCUUCGUCACCGGCCCCUUCGUCACCGGCACCUUCGUCACCGGCCCCUUCGUCACCGGCCCCUUCGUCACCGGCCCCUUUAUCACCGGCCCCUUUAUCACCGGCCCCUUCGUCACCGGCCCCUUCUACAAGUACCGAAAGCUUACCCUCGACACCCGGCACAACAGCUGCUGAAAGCUUACCUUCGACCCCCGGCACUACAGCCGCUGAAAGCUUACCUUCGACAUCUUCAACACCCGGCACAACAGCUGCUGAAAGCUUACCUUCGACAUCUUCAACACCCCGCACAACAGCUGCUGAAAGCUUACCUUCAACAUCUUUGGCACCCAGCACUACAGCCCCUGCAGGGAAGCUGAUCCUCUGUUCAACAGCAAUGAGACCGGCAAAAUGGUUGCCAAGUGACGGCGUCUGCGAUCUCAUUUUUUUUCUGGUGAACAUAACAAGCAGCGGACAUAUAAAUGUCCACAGGGUCUCCAGUGCGUUCGCCAUGAUCAAGAGGUACGCGGCGAAAUCAAAGACGACGCUGUGCGGUCUGGACUUUGACUUUAAGGCUAUCCAUCGAAUUGAAAAGAACAUCAUCCUUACGUCAUCCUUAAAGACCAUCACAAACUCUGGCGUGUCCUUGUGCGGCGUACUCACGGUAGAAGUCGGAGAAACGUGGAGCACGCGCCUUGACGCAACUGCGAACGUGCUCAGGACUGCUAUGAGUGCACUAGUGACUCCUAAUGGUCCUGCAAUAGGAGUAAUCACGGAAGAGGGCGCAUCUGGCAAGAGCAAGGGCGUCCACGAUGUCCUUGUGCAGCUGCUUAGAGACGUUCAACCAGCCUAUAUACUGUAUAGGAGUUCGGCAUUGGAAACAGACACACGAGCAUGCAUUGGCAGGGCCCCUUCUCCGUUGCAUGGGGUGUCACCGUCCUUCGACGACGCACUAGCUCUCCUGGAAGGGACCUCCUCAGCAGCGACGAUGGCAGAGACCUUUAUGUCUUUCAGUCCUGUUAGUCUGCUGUACGACUUCGAGAACAAGGUUCAACACGCAGGCACACCAUGUAAAACAGUCAAAUUCUAUGACAACGACUUCUGGUGUAAAGAAAAAGAUGUUGAUCACACUGAUGAAGGGGUAUACAGCCUGCGCUGGGAUAGGCUCCGUAUGGUGGCCGCAGAUGACGUGACGUCCAUCAAAAACAAGAUUUGCAGUGUGAGGUCCCGUGGGUACAAAGGCAACUGGGCGGUACUCUCCGUGGAAGAGGCGAAGGAAUCAGACUGCAAAAAAUCUCCAGAGACUUACAUGGAGAAACUCCGUGACCUGGACCAGUGCAAAACUGGGUAGCCAGAGAAAAGUGAUUCGACUGGCAAGAAUCUUGCUGCCUGGGGUGCGUAGUCCUCCGCUUCCAUCUGUUCAUGCGCUCCGAGGGCACCAGAUCGAUGUUGCUGGACUGAUGCCUACAGGGCAGAAGAGCCAAGGUGUACCGUAGAAAGACAGCUAAAUGAAAAGUGUGGUGUGUAAAGGGUUCAGCUAUACUUUGUACCUUUGUACUUUGUGGGGUUUGUGUACUUUCUGUAAUAAAGCUUGAC